CACUGCUAUCGGGGUUCGAUUAAGCCAUGCGAGUCGAGAGGGUUCAGACCCUCGGCGCACUGCUCAGUAACACGUGGAUAACCUACCCUGAGGAGGGGGAUAACCCCGGGAAACUGGGGAUAAUACCUCAUAGGUUUCAGAUGCUGGAAUGCUCUGAAGCCGAAAUGCUCCGGCGCCUCAGGAUGGAUCUGCGGCCGAUUAGGUUGUUGUUGGGGUAACGGCCCAACAAGCCCGUCAUCGGUACGGGUUGUGAGAGCAAGAGCCCGGAGAUGGAUUCUGAGACACCAAUCCAGGCCCUACGGGGCGCAGCAGGCGCGAAACCUUUACAAUGCGAGCAAUCGUGAUAAGGGAACCCCGAGUGCCUGAAACCAGGCUGUUCAGGUGUUUAAAAGCACCUGGAGAAAGGGCCGGGCAAGACCGGUGCCAGCCGCCGCGGUAAUACCGGCGGCUCGAGUGGUGGCCGCUAUUAUUGGGCUUAAAGCGUUCGUAGCUGGGUUGUUAAGUCUCUUGGGAAAUCUCACGGCUCAACCGUGAGGCGACUAAGAGAUACU
Molecule: ribosomal RNA, 551 nt
Filed under: uncultured archaeon
Lineage: Archaea
Description: bacterial SSU rRNA
Rfam family: Archaeal small subunit ribosomal RNA
Source: RNAcentral